UACAGAGGGUGCAAGCGUUAAUCGGAAUUACUGGGCGUAAAGCGUGCGCAGGCGGUUCUAUAAGACAGAUGUGAAAUCCCUGGGCUCAACCUGGGAACUGCAUUUGUGACUGUAGAGCUGGAGUGCGGCAGAGGGGGAUGGAAUUCCGCGUGUAGCAGUGAAAUGCGUAGAUAUGCGGAGGACACCGAUGGCGAAGGCAAUCCCCUGGGCCUGCACUGACGCUCAUGCACGAAAGCGUGGGGAGCAAACAGGA
This 253-nucleotide ribosomal RNA is filed under the name uncultured bacterium. RNAcentral describes it as "partial 16S ribosomal RNA". It matches the Rfam family "Bacterial small subunit ribosomal RNA", at positions 524 to 777 of the family's 1533-position model. The record is from RNAcentral.